AUCGUGCAAUAUUCACAUUCAUUCCAUGACCAAUAUUGGCUUUACGUUGGACAAUAUCGGUCAAAGCAUUUUGAAUGUAACCAACAUUGGAUCAAUAUUUAGCCAAUGUUUAGCCAAUGCACCGUGCUACUAGGGUAUGCAUUUUUCGUCGCAAACCCGACUUUCGUUAGGUACAGUGGCGUGGCGAAGGUAAAUCAGCCCGUCAGUCGAGAGCGUGGAAAAACGUAUCGGAAUUACAAACAAAACUCAUUGAAAAGUCUCUCCCUCUUUUUGAAUCCGACUCUUUCGAUGAGAAGACUCUCGCGAGAGAAAAGUUCAAACAUUUUUAUCGCUGAAAAAACCGGACAAGUGUGUUGAGGUGCCAUUCCAACAAAAACUCUAGCUCUUUUUGACAGUCAAUACAAAAUUAUUAUAUAAAAACUUUAUGAAAGUUUUAACGAGAAACGAAAGGUUUUGAAGAAUGAAUUAUCUCUGAAAUUAUGCGUGGACAAUGAAGGGGUGAAGUCCUUUAAGUAAAAUUUUGCCCACUGCCCCUUGACUCUCAUAAAAUUUUAUUUUUAUAAUAGUUAUAUUGAUUGCUGUAAAAAAAACUAGAGUUUUCGUUGGAGUGGCACUCAUUAACCAGAAAACAUCCCGAUCGCGAGAGAGAAACGCGCGGUAAAGGGUCGACACAAACAAACUACACCUCGCGCGGUUUGCAAAGUUUCAAGUCUAUUGUAAACUCUAAGCAAACUGUCGAUCUCAUCCGUUCAAUUGGCUCUUAAGCUAGAUAUAUAUCUACGAACGAACAGCGAGCGCGAACGUUUGGGUAAUCGUGUUCUGAAGUCGUUUGUUCCUUUUCUCAGUUGUGGAGAACAACCGGCAUCCGGUCAGAUUCGGUGUUCGCUGUUCGGUGUUCGAGGUUUUUGUGACGUUUGUACUAUACGUAACAAAAAUUUUAAGUAUUGGAUAACAUUUAGGUAAACAAUAAUUCGAAUUGUGCAGUAAACGCGCGUAGAGAUAAAUCAUUACAUUAUAUUUUAAUUUUAUAUUAUACGUAUAUUGUUCACGUCGCGCGUAACGCUCACCAUCAGUCCAUUUUAUAUGUUGAUGAUUGUUCAUAGCAGAGAGAACGAACAGCACGUAUGCGCGUCCAUGUCACGCACGAGCUGCCUUUAAUGUAUGUACACACGGCGUCAUUGAUGCCUAGCCAUCUGGGAGUUUUACACGGAUCGAGGUAAUUUUGAAAAACGUACGACUUUCUAAUUCCUUGCGCAUCAUGACUACGGAAAGAGCGAAUCAGCAUUGCCGGUUUCAAUGCCAUGAUGCACGAAGAGUUAGAAAGUCUCACACUUUUCAAACUUACCUCGAUCCGCGUGCAACUUUAGAUGGCCAGGCAUUAAUGACGUGUGCACCACCUCAUGAGAGAAUCGAGUCAAACGCGAAUCAAACUGUUUUGUUCGAGUUUGCCUCGGCGUACAUCUGCUAAAUGAUAACAACGAACGUUCGCGUUUGCUGUUCGUUCGGUGUUCGUUCGCUAAGUAUAUAUUACCCAGCUUUACACGCUCGUUUUCCGCUCUGCGAUAACGAUUGCUCGAAAGUACACUCACGUAAUUUAGAUAAUUUAGAUCGCUCGCACAACGAUCUGACGUUUCGUCUCACGGUAGGACACUCCGAGUAAGGAGGAUCGAUCUCAGAGAGAAGAUGCAGAGACAGCUUGGUAGAGGAUGUAACUUCCUAUUUCUAAUAAUCACAGGCAAAUUAAAUGUAUAUUGUUAAUUUCGUAAUCUCUCGAUAAUCUCUUUUUUAUUUCUCGCAAAUAAACGCAAUGCUUACCUAAAA
This is a long non-coding RNA of Vollenhovia emeryi, 1821 nucleotides long. RefSeq lists it as uncharacterized. The transcript is spliced from 2 exons. Lineage: Eukaryota; Metazoa; Arthropoda; Insecta; Hymenoptera; Formicidae. The record is from RefSeq and is a predicted model, not a curated record.